CAGAAAUACCGAACAUCCACAACCAAAAGAAAUGGCUGCUCCAUUGUCCCUCAACUACCUCAGACCACCCUUAUCCUCAGACAAUCCUCUUCCAAAAAACCCCACCAUCAUCACAGCCAUUGCCACUGAGAACAAGAGCAACAUCAUCAACAACUCAACUCAGCCACACCAUGUCUAGUUUCACUAGAAAAUUGCUCCAACAUGAAGGAGCUAAAGCAAAUCCAUGCCCAAAUGCUCAGAACCGGCCUUUUCUUCGACGCAUACACCGCCAGCAGAAUCGUUGCCUUUUGUGCUCUCCAACAAUCAGGGAAUCUCCAUUAUGCUCGUUUGGCCUUAACCCAGAUCGCCAAUCCCACAUCCUUUACUUGUAAUUCGAUAAUCCGAGGCCACACGAACAAGAACUUGCCACGUGAGGCUGUUCUUUUCUACCAAGAAAUGAUAACUCAAGGUCUUGCUGUCCCUGAUAGAUUCACAUUUCCUUCGUUGUUCAAAUCGUGUGUGGAUUUGCGUGAAGGGAAACAGCUGCAUUGUCAUUCGACUAAGCUUGGUUUCGCUUCGGAUACUUAUAUUCAGAACACGUUGAUGAAUAUGUACUCGCAUUGCGGGUGCUUGGUUUCGGCCCACAAGGUGUUUGACAAAAUGGUUGAUAAGUGUGUGGUAUCUUGGGCGACCAUGAUUGGAGCUUACACGCAAUGGGAUCAACCGGGUGAAGCUAUUAAGCUUUAUGAUAGGAUGGAAAUUGAGGGUUUGAAAGCUAACGAGGUUACUUUGGUUAAUGUUUUGACCGCGUGUGCUAGAGCGAGAGAUUUGGGAACAGCGAGACGGGUGCAUAAGUACAUUGAUGAGAAUGGUUUUGGGUUCCAUGCGGUCCUUAUUACGGCUCUUAUGGAUGCUUAUUGCAAGUGUGGUUGUGUGUCACUUGCUAGGGAUUUAUUUGACAACAUGCCAGAGAAGAAUUUGGUUUGUUGGAACAUUAUGUUCAAUGGACAUGUUGAGGAUAGUGAUUAUGAGGAGGCAUUGUUACUCUUUCGAGAGAUGCAACUCAAGGGCGUUAAGGGGGAUAAGGUGACUAUGGUAAGCUUAUUGCUUGCUUGCAGCCAUUUGGGUGCUCUUGAGCUUGGUAAAUGGUUGCAUGCCUAUAUUGGGAAGGAAAAAAUUGAGGUCGAUGUUGCCUUAGGAACAGCACUUGUGGACAUGUAUGCGAAGUGUGGGAGCAUAGAAAUUGCAGUGAGAGUAUUCCAAGAACUUCCUGAGAAAGAUGUUAUGACUUGGACGGCCUUGAUUGUAGGUCUUGCAAUGUGUGGCCAAGGGGAGAAGGCAUUGGAGUAUUUCCAUGAGAUGCAGAUUGGAGGGGUGACACCAGAUGCAAUUACCUUUGUUGGGGUCUUGGUAGCUUGUAGUCACGCCGGAUUAGUGGAUGAAGGAAUUUCACAUUUUAACUUGAUGUCUAAGACAUUUGGCAUUCAACCUAGUAUUGAACACUAUGGUUGUAUGGUUGACCUAUUAGGCCGAGCUGGCUGCAUAGCUGAAGCAGAGGAGUUGAUACAGAACAUGCCAAUGGCACCAGAUCAUUUCGUUUUGAGAGGGCUUCUGAGUGCCUGCAGAAUCCAUGGCAACCUUGAGGCUGCAGAAAGAGCAGCUCAACAGCUUCUAAAGUUGGAUCCAAACCAUGUAGGAACAUAUGUGCUUCUAUCAAAAAUAUAUAGCUCGUUAAGGAAGUGGGAUGAAGCUGAAAAAGUUAGGGAACUCAUAGCUGAAAGAAACAUAAAGAAGCCCCCAAGUUGCAGUUUGAUUGAGGUUGAUGGUGUUGUUCAUGAAUUUGUGAAGGGAGAUUCAUCACAUCCACAAUCCUCAGAGAUCUAUAACAUGUUAGAAGACAUGAUAAACCGAUUAAAGAAAGCUGGUUAUGUUCCUGACAAAUCAAAAGUGUUGCUUGAUGUGGAAGAGGAAGAAAAGGAGACUGCACUUAGCCUUCAUAGUGAGAAGCUAGCCAUUGCAUUUGGGCUUGUAAGUACUGAACCUGGUACCCCAAUUCGAGUUGUAAAAAACCUUCGUGUAUGCAGUGAUUGCCACACUUUAACCAAACUCAUCUCCCGGGUUUACAAUAGGGAAAUAAUAGUGCGGGAUAGGAUUCGGUUUCACCACUUUAAGGAUGGAGCUUGUUCUUGUAGGGAUUUUUGGUGAUGUAAGAAUCAUCCUAUACUCUUUAGAUAUUUACCAAUUUUUUUGCAUUGUGUACCAUAUUCAUAUACCUCAGGUUUCUUUUUUUUCACUUUUGAAUCCGUUGAUCUUUUGUGCAUUAGGUACUAGUAC
RNA transcript from Quercus lobata, 2313 nucleotides. It is a transcript of the gene named pentatricopeptide repeat-containing protein At1g08070, chloroplastic-like, with no coding region annotated. NCBI's taxonomy places the organism in Eukaryota, Viridiplantae, Streptophyta, Magnoliopsida, Fagales, Fagaceae. The transcript has a single exon. The record is from RefSeq and is a predicted model, not a curated record.